This 468-nucleotide ribosomal RNA is filed under the name uncultured bacterium. RNAcentral's name for it is "partial 16S ribosomal RNA". It matches the Rfam family "Bacterial small subunit ribosomal RNA", at positions 28 to 507 of the family's 1533-position model. The record is from RNAcentral.
GACGAACGCUGGCGGCGUGCUUAACACAUGCAAGUCGAACGGCAACGCACUACUAUUGUGGGCUGAUCGAGUGCCGAUGGGGUACGUAACACGUGUGUAACCUGCUCUAGACUUUGGGAUGAGUUCAGGAAACUAGAGCUACUACAGUACAGGAGCUGCUGUACGAUGGUGGGCGUUGGAACUUCUCGGCUGUCGGGGAUGGAUUCGCGGAUUAUCAGCUUGUUGGUUGGGUAGUGGCUUACCAAGCAUUUGACGGGUACCCGGCUUGAGAGGGUGACCGGCCACAUUGGGACUGAGAUACGGCCCAGACGCCUACGGGAGGCAGCAGUGGGGAAUAUUGCACAAUGGGCGGAAGCCUGAUGCAGCAACGCCGCGUGCGGGAUGACGGCCUUCGGGUUGUAAACCGCUUUCGCCUGUGACGAAGCGUGAGUGACGGUAAUGGGUAAAGAAGCACCGGCUAACUACGUG